This 30-nucleotide non-coding RNA is filed under the name Mus musculus (house mouse). Lineage: Eukaryota; Metazoa; Chordata; Mammalia; Rodentia; Muridae. The record is from RNAcentral.
UGAAACACAGACCACCUACUCUUACAUGUU